Molecule: signal recognition particle RNA, 265 nt
Filed under: Candidatus Eiseniibacteriota bacterium
Lineage: Bacteria; Candidatus Eiseniibacteriota
Description: signal recognition particle sRNA large type
Rfam family: Bacterial large signal recognition particle RNA
About the family: The signal recognition particle (SRP) is a universally conserved ribonucleoprotein involved in the co-translational targeting of proteins to membranes. Archaeal SRP consists of a 7S RNA and homologues of the eukaryotic SRP19 and SRP54 proteins. In most bacteria, the SRP consists of a 4.5S RNA and the Ffh protein (a homologue of the eukaryotic SRP54 protein).
Source: RNAcentral
CCGUGCUAGGCGGGGAGUUAGCGGUGCCCUGUUGCCCGCAAUCCGCUAUAGCGGGGUCGAAGUCCCUGUUGAGAUCCCGAUUCCUUUUCUUCUCUUCGGCCAGGAGUGUUGAAGGCCAGGUUCUGCGCGACGGCGGCCUGUGAACCCCGUCAGGACCGGGAGGUAGCAGCGGUAAGCGGUUACUGCCGGGUGCCGCAGAACAUCCUGGUCCGAGCUACCAGCCGGAUGUGGGGGAAGGGAUAGGCGAGCGAGGCAGGGUGCACGG